Molecule: ribosomal RNA, 252 nt
Filed under: uncultured bacterium
Lineage: Bacteria
Description: partial 16S ribosomal RNA
Rfam family: Bacterial small subunit ribosomal RNA
Source: RNAcentral
UACGUAGGUCCCGAGCGUUGUCCGGAUUUAUUGGGCGUAAAGCGAGCGCAGGUGGUUUAUUAAGUCUGGUGUAAGAGGCAGUGGCUCAACCACUGUAUGCAUUGGAAACUGGUAGACUUGAGUGCAGGAGAGGAGAGUGGAAUUCCAUGUGUAGCGGUGAAAUGCGUAGAUAUAUGGAGGAACACCGGUGGCGAAAGCGGCUCUCUGGCCUGUAACUGACACUGAGGCUCGAAAGCGUGGGGAGCAAACAGG